CUGCCUUCAGAGGGGAAUAACGUUUGGAAACGAACACUAAUACCGCAUAACAUUGGGAUAUGGCAUCAUGACCCAAUCAAAUAUUUAUCGCUGAAAGAUGGGCUCGCGCCCGAUUAGGUAGUUGGUGAGAUAAUAGCCCACCAAGCCGACGAUCGGUAGCCGGACUGAGAGGUUGAACGGCCACAUUGGGACUGAGACACGGCCCAGACUCCUACGGGAGGCAGCAGUGGGGGAUAUUGCACAAUGGGGGGAACCCUGAUGCAGCGACGCCGCGUGAGGGAAGACGGUUUUCGGAUUGUAAACCUCUGUCUUUAGGGACGAAACAAAUGACGGUACCUAAAGAGGAAGCCACGGCUAACUACGUGCCAGCAGCCGCGGUAAUACGUAGGUGGCAAGCGUUGUCCGGAAUUACUGGGUGUAAAGGGAGCGUAGGCGGGAAUGCAAGUUGAAUGUUUAAACUAUGGGCUCAACCCAUAGUCGCGUUCAAAACUGCAUUUCUUGAGUGGAGUAGAGGCAGGCGGAAUUCCUAGUGUAGCGGUGAAAUGCGUAGAUAUUAGGAGGAACACCAGUGGCGAAGGCGGCCUGCUGGGCUCUAACUGACGCUGAGGCUCGAAAGCGUGGGUAGCAAACAGGAUUAGAUACCCUGGUAGUCCACGCCGUAAAC
This 664-nucleotide ribosomal RNA is filed under the name uncultured bacterium. RNAcentral describes it as "bacterial SSU rRNA". It matches the Rfam family "Bacterial small subunit ribosomal RNA", at positions 126 to 807 of the family's 1533-position model. The record is from RNAcentral.